UCGAGAAUUUUUCUCAAUGGGGGAAACCCUGAAGGAGCGACGCCGCGUGGAGGAUGAAGGUCUUCGGAUUGUAAACUCCUGUCAUUAGGGAACAAGGUGCACGCGUUAACUGCGCGUGCAUUGAUAGUACCUGAAGAGGAAGAGACGGCUAACUCUGUGCCAGCAGCCGCGGUAAUACAGAGGUCUCAAGCGUUGUUCGGAUUCAUUGGGCGUAAAGGGUGCGUAGGUGGCGUCGUAAGUUAGGUGUGAAAUCCCGGAGCUUAACUCCGGAACUGCACUUAAUACUGCGGUGCUUGAGUACUGGAGAGGAGACUGGAAUUCACGGUGUAGCAGUGAAAUGCGUAGAUAUCGUGAGGAAGGCCAGUGGCGAAGGCGGGUCUCUGGACAGUUACUGACACUGAGGCACGAAGGCCAGGGGAGCAAACGG
RNAcentral lists this ribosomal RNA (427 nucleotides) under uncultured bacterium. RNAcentral's name for it is "bacterial SSU rRNA". It matches the Rfam family "Bacterial small subunit ribosomal RNA", at positions 355 to 775 of the family's 1533-position model. The record is from RNAcentral.